GAUGAAGAACGUAGUGAAAUGCGAUAAGUAAUGUGAAUUGCAGAAUUCAGUGAAUCAUCGAAUCUUUGAACGCACAUUGCGCCCGUCAGUAUUCUGGCGGGCAUGCCUGUUCGAGCGUCAUUACGCCCCUCAAGUCCCCUGUGGACUUGGUGUUGGGGAUCGGCGAGGCUGGUUUUCAAGCACAGCCGUCCCUUAAAUUAAUUGGCGGUCUCGCCGUGGCCCUCCUCUGCGCAGUAGUAAAACACUCGCAACAGGAGCCCGGCGCGGUCCACUGCCGUAAAACCCCCCAACUUUUUAUAGUUGACCUCGAAUCAGGUAGGACUACCCGCUGAACUUAAGCAUAUCAAUAAGCGGAGGA
RNAcentral lists this unclassified non-coding RNA (358 nucleotides) under soil metagenome. RNAcentral's name for it is "partial contains 5.8S ribosomal RNA, internal transcribed spacer 2, and large subunit ribosomal RNA". The stretch from base 1 to 120 matches the Rfam family "5.8S ribosomal RNA", at positions 35 to 154 of the family's 154-position model. The record is from RNAcentral.